GGUACAUUAUUGUAUAGUAGUCACUGCGGUGUGUCGAUUGGCGCGGCCUGAAUGGAUGCUAAAGUUCAGUAUCUACAGAGCUAUAAGACCGUAGCACGGAAACGUCGGAAAUUGACCGGAGACUUUGGGAAGAUGAAAUCGGGCAUACAAUAAAGCAUGCGGUUGUUCAUUGGAAAAAGAUCGCGAGGACGUUACGAAGAUCGUCCAAUUACGGUUUCCAAGCUUCUGAAAAAUCGAAAGAGAAUUUGGGAGCUUUCACCGUGCAAAACAAAGGAGGCACUGAAAUUAUGAUUACAACCGGAAAUUUAUUAACACGGUUGGGACAAUUGGGAAAAGGAGCUACAAUUAUUCGAGCCUUGCGGCUCGUUUUUACAAUCACCGAUUGUUGCAACAACUAUAA
Molecule: long non-coding RNA, 400 nt
Organism: Megalopta genalis
Lineage: Eukaryota; Metazoa; Arthropoda; Insecta; Hymenoptera; Halictidae
Source: RefSeq, a predicted model, not a curated record